GGGUAGUUUGACUGGGGCGGUCUCCUCCCAAAGAGUAACGGAGGAGCACGAAGGUGGGCUAAUCACGGUUGGACAUCGUGAGGUUAGUGCAAUGGCAUAAGCCCGCUUAACUGCGAGAAUGACGGUUCGAGCAGGUGCGAAAGCAGGUCAUAGUGAUCCGGUGGUUCUGUAUGGAAGGGCCAUCGCUCAACGGAUAAAAGGUACUCCGGGGAUAACAGGCUGAUACCGCCCAAGAGUUCAUAUCGACGGCGGUGUUUGGCACCUCGAUGUCGGCUCAUCACAUCCUGGGGCUGAAGUCGGUCCCAAGGGUAUGGCUGUUCGCCAUUUAAAGUGGUACGCGAGCUGGGUUUAGAACGUCGUGAGACAGUUCGGUCCCUAUCUGCCGUGGGCGUUGGAAGAUUGAAGGGGGCUGCUCCUAGUACGAGAGGACCGGAGUGGACGAACCUCUGGUGUUCGGGUUGUGUCGCCAGACGCAUUGCCCGGUAGCUAAGUUCGGAAUUGAUAAGCGCUGAAAGCAUCUAAGCGCGAAGCGAGCCCUGAGAUGAGUCUUCCCUGAUACUUUAAGUAUCCUAAAGGGUUGUUCGAGACUAGAACGUUGAUAGGCAGGGUGUGUAAGCGUUGUGAGGCGUUGAGCUAACCUGUACUAAUUGCCCGUGAGGCUUAACCAUACAACACCCA
Molecule: ribosomal RNA, 678 nt
Filed under: Vibrio cholerae
Lineage: Bacteria; Pseudomonadati; Pseudomonadota; Gammaproteobacteria; Vibrionales; Vibrionaceae
Description: partial 23S ribosomal RNA
Rfam family: Bacterial large subunit ribosomal RNA
Source: RNAcentral